This 495-nucleotide ribosomal RNA is filed under the name uncultured bacterium. RNAcentral describes it as "partial 16S ribosomal RNA". It matches the Rfam family "Bacterial small subunit ribosomal RNA", at positions 28 to 505 of the family's 1533-position model. The record is from RNAcentral.
GAUGAACGCUGGCGGCGUGCCUAAUACAUGCAAGUCGAGCGAACAGACGAGGAGCUUGCUCCUUUGACGUUAGCGGCGGACGGGUGAGUAACACGUAGGUAACCUACCUAUAAGACUGGGAUAACUUCGGGAAACCGGAGCUAAUACCGGAUAAUAUUUCGAACCGCAUGGUUCGAUAGUGAAAGAUGGCUUUGCUAUCACUUAUAGAUGGACCUGCGCCGUAUUAGCUAGUUGGUAAGGUAACGGCUUACCAAGGCAACGAUACGUAGCCGACCUGAGAGGGUGUGCGGCCACACUGGAACUGAGACACGGUCCAGACUCCUACGGGAGGCAGCAGUAGGGAAUCUUCCGAAAUGGGCGAAAGCAUGACGGAGCAACGCCGCGUGAGUGAUGAAGGUCUUCGGAUCGUAAAACUCUGUUACUAGGGAAGAACAAACGUGUAAGUAACUGAGCACGUCUUGACGGUACCUAAUCAGAAAGCCACGGCUAACUACG